Molecule: long non-coding RNA, 148 nt
Organism: Gavialis gangeticus (Gharial)
Lineage: Eukaryota; Metazoa; Chordata; Crocodylia; Gavialidae
Exons: 3
Source: RefSeq, a predicted model, not a curated record
AUAUGUAAUCUAAUUUCUACAUUCAUUCCCCUUCCUCCACCAAACCUGUCUCUCACCCACUGACUCCUCUAUUUACAUCUUCACUAACUGGCUGUCUUGCCUACACACCAGCCUCUGGCUUCUUUACUAUUCAUUCCAUCUAGGAAGU